This 377-nucleotide unclassified non-coding RNA is filed under the name uncultured Halomonadaceae bacterium. RNAcentral's name for it is "contains 16S-23S intergenic spacer region". The record is from RNAcentral. Lineage: Bacteria; Pseudomonadati; Pseudomonadota; Gammaproteobacteria; Oceanospirillales; Halomonadaceae.
UCCGGUUUGUCACCGGCAGUCUCCCUAGAGUUCCCGACCGAAUCGCUGGCAAAUAGGGACAAGGGUUGCGCUCGUUACGGGACUUAACCCAACAUUUCACAACACGAGCUGACGACAGCCAUGCAGCACCUGUCUCUCGGUUCCCGAAGGCACACCAACAUCUCUGUCGGCUUCCGAGGAUGUCAAGGGUAGGUAAGGUUCUUCGCGUUGCAUCGAAUUAAACCACAUGCUCCACCGCUUGUGCGGGCCCCCGUCAAUUCAUUUGAGUUUUAACCUUGCGGCCGUACUCCCCAGGCGGUCGACUUAUCGCGUUAACUGCGCCACAAAGCUCGCAAGGAGCCCAACGGCUAGUCGACAUCGUUUACGGCGUGGACUAC